GUUGUGUUUGGCACGUGCUGUUAGGUUGCAUCCCUCCUCGAGCAGUGACGUCCUGACCCGCCUGCCAUCUCAGUCGCAGGGCAAGCGCAAUAUAGUCUUGCUCCAAGUCGGUUUCCUGUGUUGCAUGCAUUAUCAAGUUUUAUCGAUCGCCUUUCGCCCCUCGUAUUUCGUGCACGGGGCGAAUCGAAAGGCCACCCUCGCGUCCCACGCCUCCUUCGCUUCGUCGUGCGAUGUCGUGGUCCGCGAGCGGCAUCUCAGAUUCUCGGAUGUGGUAGACGCAGUGGUCAUGGGGCCUUCAUCGUCUCCUAUUUGCCCCAUACGAAGCUCCUUGCAAACGACGGCCGCGCUCGCCAUGAAUCCGUCUGCGCCCUCGCAGGCAAGCCGGGCUCAUGUGACGCCGGCGUCGAUGAGGAAUUCUACCUGGUUGAUCCUGCUAGUAGUCAUAUGCUUGUCUCAAAGAUUAAGCCAUGCAUGUGUAAGUAUGAACAAAUUCAGACUGUGAAACUGCGAAUGGUCUGCCAUAGUAGUGUCUUUGUCAAGAUGUUGCUUUUAGGACUCCGUCGGCACCUUAUGAGAAAUCAAAGUUUUUGGGCUCCGGGGGGAGUGUUGUCGCAAGGCUGAAACUUAAAGGAAUUGACGGAAGGGCACCAGCAUGAGUGGAGCCUACGGCUUAAUUUGACACAACACGGGGAAACAUACCAGGUCCAGACAUAGUAAGGAUUGACAGACUAAGAGCUCUUUCUUGAUUCUAUGGGCGGUGGUGCAUGGCCGUUCUUAGUUGGUGAAGCGAUUUGUCUGGUUAAUUUCGUUAACGAACGAGACCUCAGCCUGCUAACUAGCUAUGCGGAGGUAUCCCUUCGCGGCCAGCUUCUUAGAGGGACUACGACCUUUUAGGCCGCAGAAGUUUGAGGCAAUAACAGGUCUGUGAUGCCCUUAGAUAUUCUGGGCCGCACGCGCGCUACACUAAUGUAUUCGACGAGUUUAUAGCCUUGGCCGACAGGCCCGGGUAAUCUUUGAAAUUUCAUCGUGAUGGGGAUAGAUCAUUGCAAUUGUUGGUCUUCAACGAGGAAUUCCUAGUAAGCGCGAGUCAUCAGCUCGCGUUUACUACGUCCUGCCCUUUGUACACACCGCCAGUCGCUCCUACCGAUUGAAUGAUUCGGUGAAAUUUUUGGAUCGCAACGACGUGGGCAGUUCGCUGCCCGCGACGUCGCGAGAAGUCCAUUGAACCUUAUCAUUUAGAGGAAGGACAAGUCGUAACAAGGUUUCCAUAGGUGAACCUGCGGAAG
Molecule: ribosomal RNA, 1286 nt
Filed under: Capsicum baccatum
Lineage: Eukaryota; Viridiplantae; Streptophyta; Magnoliopsida; Solanales; Solanaceae
Description: SSU rRNA
Rfam family: Eukaryotic small subunit ribosomal RNA (bases 418-1286)
Source: RNAcentral